GGACCCGUGGUGUAGGGGCAAGCAUGGUUGCCUCUCACCCAGUCGGCCUGGGUUCGAUUCCCAGACGGUACCG
RNAcentral lists this transfer RNA (73 nucleotides) under Culex quinquefasciatus (southern house mosquito). Its description in RNAcentral is "tRNA-Glu". It matches the Rfam family "tRNA". From Rfam's summary of the family: Transfer RNA (tRNA) molecules are approximately 80 nucleotides in length. Their secondary structure includes four short double-helical elements and three loops (D, anti-codon, and T loops). Further hydrogen bonds mediate the characteristic L-shaped molecular structure. tRNAs have two regions of fundamental functional importance: the anti-codon, which is responsible for specific mRNA codon recognition, and the 3' end, to which the tRNAs corresponding amino acid is attached (by aminoacyl-tRNA synthetases). tRNAs cope with the degeneracy of the genetic code in two manners: having more than one tRNA (with a specific anti-codon) for a particular amino acid; and 'wobble' base-pairing, i.e. permitting non-standard base-pairing at the 3rd anti-codon position. Lineage: Eukaryota; Metazoa; Arthropoda; Insecta; Diptera; Culicidae. The record is from RNAcentral.